GCUGGCGGUCUAUACAAGUCCACAGAGUUCGAUUUGCUUACUACGGGAGAGGAGAGAGAGAGAGAUAAGAGAUAAUCAGAGGAUGAGUGAGGAAAGCAGAAGAGUUGGCAAACAAACAAUCACAAAAACCAAAGCUUCGUGAAUGUCAACACUAUAGUGAGAGAGAAAGAGAGAGAGAGAGAGAGACAUCGCAACAAGUGAGCGUGCGCAGCCAGCCGCUCAGCUGAGCGACCGAACGAGCGUCUGUUAAUGAUGCAACAGCACCAAAAAUCCACUUGAGAAAGAGGGCGACCUUGAAUGAGCUGCGUGACCCGCUGCGCUGCCUUCGUACAGCGUCGUUUUCGACGUCGUUUGGCUAGCAUUUGGUUAUUUUUAGUUAAAUACAUAUGUAAUUGGGAUACCCUAGCUGGAGGCAAAGUUGCAUUUUUCUGUUAGAAGCAACAUAAUAUUGUAUACUCUGAGCCCAAGAAAACAUGUAAAAUGGGAAUUUUUUAAAUAACUAAUAUCUUUCACCAUAUAAUUCGAGUAAUUAAAUAUUGGAAUUAUCAAGUAAA
This is a long non-coding RNA of Drosophila pseudoobscura, 554 nucleotides long. RefSeq lists it as uncharacterized. The transcript is spliced from 2 exons. The record is from RefSeq and is a predicted model, not a curated record. Lineage: Eukaryota; Metazoa; Arthropoda; Insecta; Diptera; Drosophilidae.